GAUGAACGCUGGCGGCGUGCUUAACACAUGCAAGUCGAACGGAGAGGCCCUGCUCUUGUGGGGUGCUCGAGUGGCGAACGGGUGAGUAACACGCGAGUAACCUGCCCCUGUCUUUGGGAUAACUUCAGGAAACUGGGGCUAAUACCGGAUAGGAGCUCCUGCUGCGUGGGGGGGGUUGGAAAGUUUCGGCGGUUGGGGAUGGACUCGCGGCUUAUCAGCUUGUUGGUGGGGUAGUGGCUUACGAAGGCUUUGACGGGUAGCCGGCCUGGGAGGGUGGACGGCGACCAUGGGACUGCGAGAGGGCGCAGAAGCGAACGGGAGGCAGCGGGGGGAAGUAUUGCACAGUGGGCGGAAGCCAGUGGCAGCGACGCCGCGUGCGGAAUGCCGGGUUUCGGGUUGUAAACCACUUUGGAAUGAGACGAAGCGUGAGUGACGGUAAUGGGUAAAGAAGCACCGGCUAACUACGUG
Molecule: ribosomal RNA, 468 nt
Filed under: uncultured bacterium
Lineage: Bacteria
Description: partial 16S ribosomal RNA
Rfam family: Bacterial small subunit ribosomal RNA
Source: RNAcentral